Molecule: ribosomal RNA, 448 nt
Filed under: uncultured bacterium
Lineage: Bacteria
Description: partial 16S ribosomal RNA
Rfam family: Bacterial small subunit ribosomal RNA
Source: RNAcentral
AACGAACGCUGGCAGCAUGCCUAACACAUGCAAGUCGAACGAGAUCUUCGGGUCUAGUGGCGCACGGGUGCGUAACGCGUGGGAAUCUGCCCUUGGUUCGGAAUAACAGUUGGAAACGACUGCUAAUACCGGACGAUGACGAAAGUCCAAAGAUUUAUCGCCAGAGGAUGAGCCCGCGUAGGAUUAGCUAGUUGGUGUGGUAAAGGCGCACCAAGGCGACGAUCCUUAGCUGGUCUGAGAGGAUGAUCAGCCACACUGGGACUGAGACACGGCCCAGACUCCUACGGGAGGCAGCAGUGGGGAAUAUUGGACAAUGGGCGAAAGCCUGAUCCAGCAAUGCCGCGUGAGUGAUGAAGGCCUUAGGGUUGUAAAGCUCUUUUACCCGGGAUGAUAAUGACAGUACCGGGAGAAUAAGCUCCGGCUAACUCCGUGCCAGCCGCCGCCGUAA